This 72-nucleotide transfer RNA is filed under the name Anaerosporobacter mobilis DSM 15930. It matches the Rfam family "tRNA". From Rfam's summary of the family: Transfer RNA (tRNA) molecules are approximately 80 nucleotides in length. Their secondary structure includes four short double-helical elements and three loops (D, anti-codon, and T loops). The record is from Rfam by way of RNAcentral. RNAcentral also lists the same sequence under 1 other name. Lineage: Bacteria; Bacillati; Bacillota; Clostridia; Lachnospirales; Lachnospiraceae.
GCACGAGUGGCUCAGUGGUGGAGUAUUGCCUUCCCAAGGCGAGGGUCGCGGGUUCGAAUCCCGUCUCGUGCU